This is a non-coding RNA of Acanthosepion pharaonis, 110 nucleotides long. NCBI's taxonomy places the organism in Eukaryota, Metazoa, Mollusca, Cephalopoda, Sepiida, Sepiidae. The record is from the annotation of a GenBank genome assembly.
CAACCACAUCAGGUUAAAAUACCGGUACCCUUCCGAUCACCGAAGUUAAGCAACGUAACCCUGGUCAGUGCUAAGAUAGUUGACCGCUUGGGAAUACUUAGUGAUGUAAU